Molecule: long non-coding RNA, 597 nt
Filed under: Physcomitrium patens
Lineage: Eukaryota; Viridiplantae; Streptophyta; Bryopsida; Funariales; Funariaceae
Description: long non-coding RNA (PPAT_LNC008651)
Source: RNAcentral
AUUAUUAACAAUUCCUCGUUCUCCCGAGGUGCUUCCAUUCAACGCUAUUCAAUAACUGCACUGCAUUCUCUGCUCAGGUAUGGCCUGCACUGCAACCCAGGCCAGACCGUCGCAGUAAAAACUUUUCGAAUCUUUUAGCACAGAUGGGUAUUUUUGUUUCCAUAGCAGAAGCUUUGUUGACAUUACCGAUGCAUUGAACACAAUCUCAGCGCUGAGUGUCUCACCAGGUCAGAUAAGAGCAGGCACUUGCAUUUGAAGGGUCCAGUCUCACUAUGCUCCGAACACAACGAGAUGCUAAAUCGCAUGAAGGAGUUUAGAUCACAACCCUGUGGAUCCAUACCACAGUUUGCAUUUAACGCUUUGAGAGAUGGAUUCUACUCAAAUUCCAUGAGGCCAUUGAAUCACAGCUAGUACCGAAAAUCUAUAUUAAUCUGCAGAGAGAACUUUGGACUCGAAAGAAACGUGUCAGGCCAGAGUUGAACAGAAAACAUGCCAUGUAGCAGUAAUGCAAGAACCAUCUAAUAAAUGUACACAUUACCAUACUAAGUAGUAUCACCAUGAUUGAGGAACGUGGCAUCAUUAUUCUGUAAACGAUAC